RNAcentral lists this transfer RNA (72 nucleotides) under Candidatus Magasanikbacteria bacterium RIFOXYB2_FULL_38_10. Its description in RNAcentral is "tRNA-Arg". It matches the Rfam family "tRNA". Rfam says of the family: Transfer RNA (tRNA) molecules are approximately 80 nucleotides in length. Their secondary structure includes four short double-helical elements and three loops (D, anti-codon, and T loops). The record is from RNAcentral. Lineage: Bacteria; Candidatus Magasanikiibacteriota.
GCCCCCGUCGUCCAAUGGAUAGGACAGCAGCCUUCGAAGCUGUUGAUGUGGGUUCGAUUCCUGCCGGGGGCA